CGGGAAGUAGCUCAGCUUGGUAGAGCACCACGUUCGGGGCGUGGGGGUCGCAAGUUCAAAUCUUGUUUUCCCGA
Non-coding RNA from Pediococcus pentosaceus ATCC 25745, 74 nucleotides. The record is from Rfam. Lineage: Bacteria; Bacillati; Bacillota; Bacilli; Lactobacillales; Lactobacillaceae.